RNAcentral lists this ribosomal RNA (249 nucleotides) under uncultured bacterium. Its description in RNAcentral is "partial 16S ribosomal RNA". It matches the Rfam family "Bacterial small subunit ribosomal RNA", at positions 523 to 769 of the family's 1533-position model. The record is from RNAcentral.
AUACGAAGGGGGCUAGCGUUGUUCGGAAUUACUGGGCGUAAAGCGCAUGUAGGCGGACAUUUAAGUCAGGGGUGAAAUCCGUGGGGCUCAACCUCGGAACUGCCUUUGAUACUGGGUGUCUAGAGUGUGGAAGAGGUAAGUGGAAUUCCGAGUGUAGAGGUGAAAUUCGUAGAUAUUCGGAGGAACACCAGUGGCGAAGGCGGCUUACUGGUCCAUUACUGACGCUGAGGUGACGAAAGCGUGGGGAGC